UGAACAGAACGAGGUUUGAUUGCUUUAU
This 28-nucleotide non-coding RNA is filed under the name Bombyx mori (domestic silkworm). The record is from RNAcentral. Lineage: Eukaryota; Metazoa; Arthropoda; Insecta; Lepidoptera; Bombycidae.